Canis lupus familiaris (dog) is the source of this 614-nucleotide long non-coding RNA. RefSeq lists it as uncharacterized. Lineage: Eukaryota; Metazoa; Chordata; Mammalia; Carnivora; Canidae. The transcript is spliced from 3 exons. The record is from RefSeq and is a predicted model, not a curated record.
GCUCCCCAUGAGUAACCUCAGUCUCCCAGUCCACAGUGGCCUAGAUGCUCCUGGAGACAGGUGCAUGUGCACUGAUCUGCACGGCUUGCUGGGUGCCCACAGUAAGAGUCCUUGCUGUCCUGUGCCCUCCCCACCUCUGCCUGUUCUGGGGGGAACUGAGCAUAGAACACCUGUGCUAUCUCAGCUGUCUACCAGAUGAACAGCUAGGCUUUGUCCGCUUCAGAGCCCUCAGAUCCAGAGCCCUGUGCCACUAGACCUGCGCUCCUGGGGACCACCUCUCCUGAAGCGAAUGGAAGACAGCUGACACCGUCUGUUGCUGGGCUCUAAGGUCGAAUUCGUAGGUGUUCAGGAUGUUUUGAAAGUAAUCCAGAUCACUCAUUCCAGGGAAGCCAGCUACUGUGGUGAAGUGCAUCUAAGAAGCCCUAUGAGAUCCAUGUGGCAAGGAGCUGAGAUCUCCUGCCAACUGCCAGUCAUCUUGGAUGUGGAGCCACCAGCUCUAAUCAAGCAUUUAGAUAUUUGCAGCCUUGGUCAACAUCUUAAUGCAUCUUGGGGUUAUGGAAGACCCCAAGCCAGAACCAUCAGCUAAGCUUCUCCUGAAUUCCUGAACCACAAAA